CCACACAAGACGUGUGUAGGUGGGCCUCACACAACUGCCCCGAAUCUUAUUCUUAUCCUUUCUUCUACCUUCAGCCCCAUCUCUCUCCGCGCCGUGCUUCUUCUUCCUUUCCGCCGCGCUGCCUUCGGCCGGUGGGUGCUGCCGUCCGUGUGCUCCGCCGAGCUGGGGGACUGCCCGACUACUCGCCGAGUUAGGGGACUGCCUGACUACUACCGACCGGCGCCCGCUGUCAUGAAAAAGGGUUGCAGCAAAUUACAUCGCCGGUCGUAUCAAAGAAUGAAGACGGUUGCAGCAAAACAUCGUCAGAGUCGUCAUCUGUCGCAGUUAAGACACGAAGCUUGAAGCUUUUUUUAAUACCGGUUGUAGCUUUUGUAACCGCUGGUUGCAACUUUUUGUUCUCAUCCAUGGCUUUCGGCUCUAUGGUUGAAGCUUUUUUUUAUCGCCGGAUGAAGCUUUUUUCAUCGCGAUAUGAAGCUUUUUUGGUCACUGGUUGCUACUUUCCGGCCGGCGGGGGCGAGGGAGAGGUGAGGGGAUGGGCAGCAUAGGUGGGCAGCGGAGCUGCAACCAACAGCUCAAAAGGCGACGGGCGACAGCGGCGAUGGGCGACGGCGAGGCAAUUCGGCGGGAGGCGACCGGCGAAGACGCGGGAGGCGACCGGCUUCGAGGUUCGUCGUUUGCUCGUUUACGGCGAGCGCCGGCGGCGCCGCUGCUCUGUUUCCCGCGGGCCUCGUCAGAUUUGGUUUUGGAAAAAAAAACAGAAGCCCCAAUCCAACGGCAACACUUGUCGCAUCGGGUGGCUGGGGCUAGACCGGCGGAACUGUUCAGCCGCCUAUCACUGCCCUUUUUUUAAUGGUGUGUGGUGUAAUUAGUACUUGGAAAAGGUUCUUUUCUUCA
Triticum urartu is the source of this 894-nucleotide long non-coding RNA. RefSeq lists it as uncharacterized. Lineage: Eukaryota; Viridiplantae; Streptophyta; Magnoliopsida; Poales; Poaceae. The record is from RefSeq and is a predicted model, not a curated record.